GUUGGGUUAAGUCCCGCAACGAGCGCAACCCUUGAUCUUAGUUGCCAGCAUUCAGUUGGGCACUUUAAGGUGACUGCCGGUGACAAACCGGAGGAAGGUGGGGAUGACGUCAAAUCAUCAUGCCCCUUAUGACCUGGGCUACACACGUGGUACAAUGGAUGGUACAAAGGGGUGCAAACCUGCGAAGGUAAGCGAAUCCCAUAAAGCCAUUCUCAGUU
Molecule: ribosomal RNA, 218 nt
Filed under: Bacillus sp. (in: firmicutes)
Lineage: Bacteria; Bacillati; Bacillota; Bacilli; Caryophanales; Bacillaceae
Description: partial 16S ribosomal RNA
Rfam family: Bacterial small subunit ribosomal RNA
Source: RNAcentral